This is a long non-coding RNA of Mustela erminea (ermine), 1811 nucleotides long. RefSeq lists it as uncharacterized. The record is from RefSeq and is a predicted model, not a curated record. The transcript is spliced from 2 exons. Lineage: Eukaryota; Metazoa; Chordata; Mammalia; Carnivora; Mustelidae.
UAGUCUUUUUUAUGGACUGUUUUAACUAGGCCCUAUUCCCAACAUGGGGAUUAAACUCAAGACCUUGAGAUUUAGAGUCCCAUGCUCUACCAACUGAGCCAGUCAAUAUGCCCCUGUAUGGACAUUUCUCAAGACCAAUCCCCCUUUCCAUUCCUCUCAUAUUUCCUCAUUUGAUGACCCUGUUUUCCUUUAUAAUUUUCUCUGCCAUUUUUGCUAUUGACUGCCAGUCCAAUCUCUAGCUUUGACCUCUUUCUCAAGCCCUGCAUCUCCAAGUUACUGAGGGUCGUAUUCUCUUGCUAGGCACAGUAGGUACACAGAUGAGUGUGACAUAAUCCCCAUCCUUGAGGGGCUGAAAAUUUAAUGGGAGGACAAGCAGUGGGUAGGGGCUUCAUAAAAUGGUAUAGAGGACUAAGAUGGAGCAGCCACCUGUGCAGAGGGCUGCUGGGAGUCUUUGUAGAGGAGUAGACAUUUGAAUAGCUGUGGACCAGUAUUAACCAGGUUAAUAGAUAGGGAAGGGUCACGCCUGAAGAGGAUAUAUCCUGUAUACAUGUUCUAAAGACAGAGACUUUAUAAAUACACGUUCAGAGCAGGAAGAAAGAGGUAUCUUACUACUUCAGGAAGAUGGGGCUCAAAUCAAGGGAGAUUACAUUCUCACUUUCUCAAGUAUUAGCCUGGCCAUUAGAUUUGGAAUAUUGAUUUAGUUCUGAGAAAUACAUGUUGAGAGAGACAUUGACAAAUCAGAGUGACACUGGCCCAAAUGGUGAUGAAGAGUUUAAAAAUUGCAUAGAUCAUUUGAGACUCAGUUUACAUCAGCUGCUUCUGUGUAGUCUCCUUAACCACUUAAUCAGCUAAUGGCAGCCUCUUGAAAUUCUGUGCCACUGAUUAACUAUUAUAAGUCCUUUGGCAUGGGUUGUGUAAUUGAGCUAUGUUAAGUUUAGAUUCUUGACACCAUACUUAGCAGCUACGUGAACUUGGGCAAAUUCCUUAAUCUCUUUUUAAGUCUUCAUUUCCUCAUCUGUAAAAUGGAGUUAGUAAUAGCCCAUGCCUUGGCAUAUGCUGGCUUACAGUAGCUCUCCAUGAUCGGGAGCUGUAGUAGUGACGGUGAUGGAAGAUGACCAUCCUUAUUUAUACCAGUGGUUCUCAGCUAGGGAUGAUUUUACCUCCUCCAGGGAACAUUUGGAAUGUCUGACUGUCACAAGUAGUAUUGGGAGAGAAGGGUCUUUGGUCCUGGCAUCAAUCGGGUGGAGGCCAGGGACACUGCUAAACAUCCUGCAAUGUAAAGGACAGUCCCCAUCCACCGCAACAAAUAAUUGCGUAGCCCACCCUGUCAGUAGUGCCAAGGGUUGAGAAGCCCGGAUCUAUAUGUAAUGUCUUCCCUGUUCGAUUAUAUAACCUCCUCCAUGGCAGACUGUUUUGUGGAUUAUGGGUCAAGUUGAUUCAUUUUGCCUAAAGUACAUUAGAUUACAAUCAGUUUUUUAGAAGUAAUAUUAGUGUUUAGUAGAAGUAUGAUUCUAGGGGAAAAAAUUGCUUAUUAGCACCCAAUACAAACUGGACAAACUUUAGAGUUUUGGGUUUCCCUGCCACCUGGGAAUCUAUUACCCCAACAAGUGGAGUUUAAACAUUGUACUUAAUUAACAGGGUGGUAUCAUGGGUUAGACUAUUUCCUUUGUGAAAUCUUUUGAAUUACAUACUUGCAUACUUAGAAAUUCACUGUUUUUGUCACUUGUGUGUAACUGUUUCUCAUUUAUACCUUUCCUUUGUUUUACAGUUUUGUGGUAAUUCUAAUAAAAAACACUGAAAUAUUUUGUAAA